GCUUCUCCGGCAUUACCGCAGAGCAGGAAAACUGCAUUUUUCGCAUCUACCACAAGCGUCAGAAGUAGCCAUGCAAACAUAUCGCAUAUCUGAAAUAUGCACUUUCCAAACGACGAAUUCUGAACGUUUUAUCUAACUUUAAUGCACACUAUUUUCUUCGCAACAGUUGAAAUGUUUCCAUGGUUGCCCUUAACGCUAUGGAUAGACCGUUCACCUCAGUUUCAACACUGGAUUUUUUCAAUGUGACAUUUGUACCUACCCAAUGCUACAAUAUUUGCUUGGUCAGCCGAGGACUUUAAUAGUAGUUGAAUGCGAUGACAGUGGAUUACCUGGAAAAAACCUCCACCAUACCCUGAUUGCAUGGCCACCUUUGAUUACAGACCCCUGUCAACGUUUAAUGAGAAGCUCGAGGGAAUAAGCCACAGCUGGAGUGGGCUGACUGAUCUGGAGCAGUGACACAAAUUCACGAAGGAGAAACUUAUACUUUGUAAGUUGAGACAAAGCUGCUCCACCCACGAGUGCCUUUGCACACACAAGUGAUUACCCGCGCAUCUGUUGUGCUGGACAAAACAAUAAUGCGACGAUGAAACAAAGUCCGAAAGUCUUGUUUUCUUUCUGUCUUUCUUUCUUUUUUUUUGCUUGCUCAUCUCCAUGACCCUGUCUCUAUUUACUAUGAACAAUCGUCCUGCCCAAAGCCAGCUUUCUUUGCUGAAUUAUUGUGGCUACUUGCUCAAUCAAAUAACUUCAAUGAAAUUACUUUCAUAAGGUAGUCACAGGGUAUGGAACAAUGCUAGACUGCUCAAUCUAGGAAGAAAGAACUAAGGAUCACUUACUGGGUUAACAACAGAACAACAUUCUGUUAGGAGAAACUUCAGUCUGCCAAACCUCAGCAUGAGGUCAAUCCAAACAUGAAAAUCUGUCUAUUUAUUGAAAGCUCACACUGCAAGUACUCCACGGUAGUUUUUUGGGUGUGUUUGUGUGUGUGUGUGUGUAAGAAACUAUCUAGAUCCUGGAGGCUGUAGAUUGUGUAAUGUGUCCCAUCAAAAAACAAAAAUAACAAAAUAAUCCACUGAGACAUGAAAGUUAAUGCUACCCAUGUUUGAGUAGUUUUCUAUUGGUCAUCAUACAAAAAUCAUACAUUUUGCAGCAAUUUUGGUUUUAGAAAAAGUCUAAUCUUAUGUUGAAUGUGUCAGUCAGUUUUAUUUUACGUCUCAUUUCACACGAGCGAAUGUGAAGGACUUCUGUUCUCUCAGGAUUCGCUCCCUGAAAGAGCCGUGUAGCUUUCAGUCACUGGAAUAGUCCACGCUGAACUGGGUCUUCGUAAUCCUGUCUUCUGUUUAAACACGGCCUUGUAACCGAUGAAGCAAUCAAAGUAGAGAAGGGCUGGGAAGACAUCUGCUCAUAAAACAGGAAAAAUUUCUCAUGAUUGUCUUUUCAUCCACGGAAUAGGAAAUCUAAUGGACUAGAAAAUAAGAUAUAACCUCGCCACCGUAUGGACUUUAAGAAACUUUUGUUCACUGCAAAAUAUGAGUAAACAACUCAAUUUAAAAAAACUAGUUCUAGCUUCCAGAUAUUCCACAGUCUAGACAUGGCAACAUUUACAUACAUGCUUAGCAUUGUAUGUUUUAAGUUAUCUAUGUGUGGCUCUGCUUCUUAUUACAUGCUUCAUAAAAGCCUGUUUAGGUGCAUGUAUCUGCGCUGGUUUUCUUUGCUGAGGUACUGUUGCACCGGUCUGUCGUUUGGUUGUGGGUUUUUGACAGUAGCAGCAGUGUGCUCUGUAGGCCUGUAGGACCUUUUUCUCGGUUGUGUAGGGCUUUUUAUCCUGUAGGGCUGUAUGGCUUUUUUUUUUUCUGUAGAACUUUUUUUCCUGUAGUGCUGUUGGGCUUUUUUCCUGUAGUGCUGUUGGGCUUUUUUCCUGUAGUGCUGUUCGGCUUUUUUUUCCUGUGGUACUGUUGGGCUUUUUUCCUGUAGUGCUGUUCGGCUUUUUUCCUGUAGUGCUGUUCGGCUUUUUUUCCUGUGGUACUGUUGGGCUUUUUUCCUGUAGUGCUGUUGGGCUUUUUUCCUGUAGUGCUGUUGGGCUUUUUUCCUGUAGUGCUGUUGGGCUUUUUUCCUGUUGGGCUAUUUUCAGAUUGUGUCACUGUGCUCUCGGGUG
This is a long non-coding RNA of Anguilla anguilla (European eel), 2152 nucleotides long. RefSeq lists it as uncharacterized. The record is from RefSeq and is a predicted model, not a curated record. Lineage: Eukaryota; Metazoa; Chordata; Actinopteri; Anguilliformes; Anguillidae. The transcript is spliced from 4 exons.